RNAcentral lists this ribosomal RNA (440 nucleotides) under uncultured bacterium. RNAcentral describes it as "partial 16S ribosomal RNA". It matches the Rfam family "Bacterial small subunit ribosomal RNA", at positions 338 to 795 of the family's 1533-position model. The record is from RNAcentral.
CCUACGGGUGGCAGCAGUGGGGAAUAUUGCACAAUGGGGGAAACCCUGAUGCGGCGACGCCGCGUGAGUGAAGAAGUAACUCGUUAUGUAAAGCUCUAUCAGCAGGGAAGAAAAUGACGGUACCUGAGGAAUAAGCCACGGCUAACUACGUGCCAGCAGCCGCGGUAAUACGUAGGUUGCAAGCGUUAUACGGAUUUACUGGGUGUAAAGGGCGUGUAGGCGGGAAAGCAAGUCCGAUGUGAAAACCCGGGGCUCAACCUGUGGCCUGCAUUUGAAACUGUUUUUCUUGAGUACUGGAGAGGCAGACGGAAUUCCUAGUGUAGCGGUGAAAUGCGUAGAUAUUAGGAGGAACACCAGUGGCGAAGGCAGUCUGCUGGACAGCAACUGACGCUGAGGCGCGAAAGCGUGGGGAGCAAACAGGAUUAGAUACCCCUGUAGUC